Molecule: ribosomal RNA, 493 nt
Filed under: uncultured bacterium
Lineage: Bacteria
Description: bacterial SSU rRNA
Rfam family: Bacterial small subunit ribosomal RNA
Source: RNAcentral
GACGAACGCUGGCGGCAUGCCUAAUACAUGCAAGUCGAGCGAACAGAUGAAGUGCUUGCACUUCUGACGUUAGCGGCGAACGGGUGAGUAACACGUAAGGAAUCUACCUAUAAGCGGGGGAUAACAUUCGGAAACGGGUGCUAAUACCGCAUAAUAUCUUCUUCCGCAUGGAAGAAGAUUGAAAGACGGCUCUGCUGUCACUUAUAGAUGACCUUGCGGUGCAUUAGUUAGUUGGUGGGGUAAUGGCCUACCAAGACGAUGAUGCAUAGCCGACCUGAGAGGGUGAUCGGCCACAUUGGGACUGAGACACGGCCCAAACUCCUACGGGAGGCAGCAGUAGGGAAUCUUCCGCAAUGGGCGAAAGCCUGACGGAGCAAUGCCGCGUGAGUGAAGAAGGCCUUCGGUCGUAAACUACUGUUAUAAGAGAGAACAAUAGUAGAGUAACUAGCUACAGUCUUGACGGUAUCUUAUCAGAAAGCCACGGCUAACUACG